GAAAUGCGAUACGUAAUGUGAAUUGCAGAAUUCAGUGAAUCAUCGAGUCUUUGAACGCACAUUGCGCCCCCUGGUAUUCCGGGGGGCAUGCCUGUCCGAGCGUCAUUGCUGCCCUCAAGCACGGCUUGUGUGUUGGGCCCCCGUCCCCCCCCCAAGGGGACGGGCCCGAAAGGCAGCGGCGGCACCGUGUCCGGUCCUCGAGCGUAUGGGAAGCAACUUUUUGUCACCCGCUCCUGUAGGUCCGGCCGGCGGCCUGCCCAACCCCAACCUUUUUUUCAACCAGGUUGACCUCGGAUCAGGUAGGGAUACCCGCUGAACUUAAG
This 323-nucleotide unclassified non-coding RNA is filed under the name plant metagenome. RNAcentral's name for it is "partial contains 5.8S ribosomal RNA, internal transcribed spacer 2, and large subunit ribosomal RNA". The stretch from base 1 to 105 matches the Rfam family "5.8S ribosomal RNA", at positions 50 to 154 of the family's 154-position model. The record is from RNAcentral.